Molecule: long non-coding RNA, 7021 nt
Filed under: Penaeus chinensis
Lineage: Eukaryota; Metazoa; Arthropoda; Malacostraca; Decapoda; Penaeidae
Description: uncharacterized LOC125045685
Source: RNAcentral
CUCUUAUCGGUUCACUCUCUCGCUCCCUCUGCUGACAGAAAGAUCAGAGGUGUGGAUGGGAGCCCGGGACGAGAGCGGGCGAUGGCGGGGGCAGGAGGAGUGUGAAGGACUGAUAGUCACUUGGACUUCUUUGUACAAUCACCUUUGGUAAAUGGUUAAGUCUCAUUCUCUCCCUCUCUCCCGUGGGAUGGUAGAACCUAAGACGCGGAUUUUCAAGAGCAGCGGUUUUCGAUUGUUGGAAAAUCCGCGUGGACGAGUUGGGGAACCCGAUUUCACGAUGCCGUUGGAAGAUGCAGGUUUCGUUGAAUUUUGAUGUUUGUCUUUGUUUUCUUUUUCGUAUUGGUUAAUGUUUUCCAAAAGUUAUUCGGUUGCUUCGUUAUUUCGUUGUUUCUGUAAUGGUGAUAGUAGUAAUGAUCAUUAUCGCAUAUAUUCUUUUCCUCCACAACACCAUCGCCAGCACCACCCUCAUGAUUAUUAAUAUUGUUGUUAUUAUUGCUAUUGCGUUAUUACAGCAAGUAUCAUCUACUACUGAUAAUAUUGCUACAAGUAGUAUAAACAUUUCCAUUGGGUGUAAAACUUAGUUUAGCCUUGAUAAAUAUGCUCAAUCAGUAUUCACAUUCUAGUCUACUAAAUAUUAAAAUGCAAAUGACCAAUUAUAAUCAUGAUUAGGCAUCUUUCUAGAAGUACUUAUAUUCAUGCUAUUAUUAUUAUUAUUUAACUACUACUAUUACUAUCAUUAUUAUUAUUAAUAUUAAUCUUAUUAUUAUUAUAAUUAUUAUGGCAUCAAUUUAAUUAUUUAUUGUAUCCGUCGAUUUCCUCAAAAGACUUCAUAUUUGUCAGGUCAAUUACUGAUCAAUAUUUAUUUAUUUAUUUACGCGACCAAACGUAAUCAGUUUGAUAUCCAAAGAUUUACAUUUACUUCAAUAACAUGUCUUUGUUUUGUUUAACCUGUUCCUCUAAUAAUUUUGUUUGCCUUGUUGCAUAUAUUUUCAAUGCCCAAUAUUGUUCUUGAUUAUGAUGCGGUAAGCAAGCUCGUUUUGUUAUCAUAGUAAUCAUUUUCGUUACUAUGGUUACCGUUAAGAAUAUUUUAAAAACUCAACUUCCUAACCAUGAAUGUCAUCGUUAUGGAUCUCGACUCCAUAAACUCAUCGUGUAAAAAGUAUCGUCCAACUUAAUUAUAAUUAUUUUCAUUAACAAAAGAUAUUUCAUUUUAGUACCAUUUUAGUGUGAUUUCUACCAACAUCCAAAUAUUUACAUUUACUUCUAUAACUUGUCUUUGUUUUGUUUAACCUCAUCGUAAUAUAUGAGUUCUUACAAUGAUUGUGUUUGCUUUGUUGCAAGACAUUUUUUCAAUGUCCAUUAUUGCUCUUGAUUAUGAUGCGGUAAGCAAGCUCGUUUUGUUAUCAUAGUAAUCGUUUUCGUUUCUACGGUUACCUUUAAAAAUAUUUAAAAACUUUAAAAACUUCCUAACCAUGAAUGUCAUCGUUAUGGAUCUCGACUGCAAGAAAUUCAUCAUGUAGGAAUUAUCGUCCAACUUAAUUAUAAUUAUUUUCAUUUUUGUUAUAGUAAUCAUUUUCGUUUCUACGGUUGAGAAUAUUUUAAAACUAAAAACUUCCUAACCAUGAAUGUCACCGUUAUGGAUCUCGACUGUUACAUAUUCUUCAUGUAGGAAUUAUCGUCCAACUUAAUUAUAGUUAUUCCCAUUAACAAAAGAUCUUACUUUCAUUUUAAUGUGAUUUCUACCCAUAUGAUGUACUUACUGUUGUUCCGCUCUUGGUGAUGGUGCAGUAAGCAAGUUUUUUUUUAUCAUAGUAAUCAUUUUUGUUACUACGGUAACCGUUAAGAACAUUUUAAAAACUCAACUUCCUAACCAUGAAUGUCAUCGUUAUGGAUCUCGACUACUUUGAAUUCUUUGUGUAAGAAAGAUCGUCCAACUCAACUAUUAUUAUUUUCAUUAACAAAAUAUAUUACUUUCAUUUUAGUACCAUUUUAAUAUGGUUUCUGCCCAUAUGAUGUACUUACUGUUGUUCCGUAUUUCAAGUAUUGUUUUUCAUUAUCAUGUUUAACUUACGGUUUCUUUUAUGCUUGAUAUCACUAUGGUAAUUAGAUUAAUCGACGUGAAGUCAAAAUUACUGUAUUAAAAUUAAAGGGUAUAAUUGUUUUCUUUGUUUUUACCGUCUUCGCAAUGGUUAAUUUCGUUAUUGUGAACCUCAGCUAUUAUAACUUCCUCUUCUAUUUUUAGAUAGAUUACUGUUUGCGCCUCGAAAAAACUGAUACAGUUUUUUAUAUUUCCUGUUUUAAAAGUUUGUUUUCGUAACGACAAACGUAACUGAAACCCACCUCGUUCAUGAGGUAUCAUUAAGCAAAAUUAUAUUUGAGAAAAGAAGUGUUGGCAGAGGAUCAUGUCUUCUUCCCUUCAUGUGAUCAACUUCAUUAUCAGUUCACACAAAACAUAAGCACAAGUGAUCGAAAAAAAAUCAGUGAUCUUCUCAUAGUUUCCUUCUAGAUGCGAAUAGUCAAACUUUCAAAAUGAUAAUGUGAAUUUUUUUUCUGAAAAUGUUAUAGACCGUUGAUGUGUGCAGAUUUCAAUCAAAAUAAUAAGAAAAUAAUAAGAAAGACAUGAGGAAGGCAAUAUUUUUUCAAACAAAUGUAACAACUGAUCUUGUUUAGCUUGAACAUAUAUAGUGAUAGGAAAUUGCAAGCAAGCUGACAUCGCUUGGGAAACACCUUCAAGAAUAAGUCAAGCUUGUCAUGACGCAACAAAUGACAUUCAUUGAUAAACCUUUUACCAGGAUUCACAAACGACGCUUGUCUUUUUCAAUGCGCGUUUUUCAUAUUGCUAAGAAAAUACAUUAAAGCUGCAGCGGCCGGAAGUCAUUAUUGCUGUGCUUGUGACGCCGUUCUGCUGAGCCUCCUCUGCUGCACCUCCACGGCCUCUGCCCUUUAGUUGCCUCAAGGGAAAGCGUUCGCUCCAGCGGCAAUUUCGAGGAUUAUAAACUUUCAAGCUCCGGGAUAGUUUUUCGGGAAAAAGAAGAAAAAAAAAUCGUAGCACUGAACGCGUGUGUGUAUAAACACGUGUGUCUUCAUAAGUAUCAUUAUGGUAGUAAAAAUCGCACUAAUCUCUGAUUAAUUUAUCUUCAGCCGUCAUUCAUAAUUAUUUUUGUUCGCAUUUUUAACUAAAUCCGCUAUUAUGAAAUGUAACGUCUCAUUUACAGGAUAUUGCUCCUAUUUUACUGUGCAUUCCGAAUUUCUUGAAUUGGAAUUCCUUCGCAUCAAUAUUUGUUCUCUUGUUAUGCUCACUUAUCAGUCCGUUGGAUAUAUGUGAAAUUAGGCAGAUUGUUAUUAUUACCCUAUGGCCGGUGUUAUCAAUGUGAAAAAUCCUUACAUAUGCUUUCUUAACAGUUGGCUUCACUGUUACGGAAGCAGCGCAUAACGGGGAAAAAAUUCACUGUCGUGUUUAUUGCUCGGCGACUGAAUCUGCUCUAAGGAUCCCGUGCCAGUGACAAAUAUUACUGUCUGUCUUGGAAUUAGGAAGUUCUGUAAUUAUAUAUGAUAAUUGUUUUUAAACUACCGUUGUUAUUAUUGUUGUUGUUUUGUUGUCAUUAUUAAUUCAUAGGUGUUUUCAUAUACACCGUUAUGAAACAACGCUGGGUCGUCUCCCCCCGAAGCAGGACUUAUUUAGUUCUCAAGAACCUCGCACUAAUGAUAAAUAUAUCAAUCUGCUUUAGAAUUAAGUUUGGAAAUCAUAUCUGAUAAUCAUUUUUAAAUUACCACUACAACUAUUAUAAUGGUAAAUAUUGUUAUCAUUAUCAAUUGCUGUGUUCUUUAAUAUAUAUAUUUUUUUUCAUGAAACAACACUCAGGAUCCUCCUAGCAAGGAUAACUAUUGUUAUCCAUUUUAAUUAAGAUAUUUAACACAUAUUGUAAUCUUGCUUAUCAAUAUUUAAAAAAAAAUCAUAAUACAUAUUUUUAAUUGUUACAUUUAUAGCAUGCACACAAUAUUACUAUAAUAGCAUUCGCAACGUGAUCGUGUUUAUUCCUUGAAGACUUAGUCUGCUCUAAGGAUCUCGUGCCAGUGACAAAUAUUAUUAUCUGUUCUGGAAUUGGGAAGUUUUUGUAAUUAUAUGCGAUAAUCAUUUUUAAACAACCAUUAUUAUCAUUGUUAUUAUUAAUUCAUAGGUGUUUUCAUAUACACCUCUAUGAAACAACGCUGGGUCGUCGCCCCCCGAAGCAGGACUAAUUUUGUUCUCUAGAACCUCGUAGCAAAGAUAAAUAUUAUUAUCUGUUUUAGAAUUAGCAAGUUUUGUAAUUAUAUUUGAUAAUCAUUUUUAAACUCCUGCUACAACCAUUAUAUAUAUAUGAUUAUAACUAUUGUUAUCAUUAUGAAUCCCUAAGUGUUUUUAAAUAAUUUUCUUUUAUGAAACAACACUGGGUAGCCUCCCCUCGUUCUCAAGAUCCCCUUAGCAAUAAUUAACUAUUGUUAUAUGUUUUAAUUAAAACAUUAACACAUACUGUCUUAUUACCUGUUAAUAUUUUUAGAAAUCACAGUAUAUAUAUCUUAUUGUUGCAUGCAUAGUAUGCACACAAUAUUGGGACUAUCAUUAAUAUUAUAAUUGGUCAUUGUAUUAUCGUUAUUACUACUGCAUCAACUUUUCCACCUUUGAGUGAAAUUACUCCUUGUUUUGUAUUUGAAACUGUUUCAGCUUUCAAUAGCAUUAAAGAAUCAUGAGUAUAUUAGUUCAUAUUAGUUCACCUUUAUAAUACAGUUUCUUGUUAUGAUAUUGCAACUGCCCGUUUUACGAUUAUUGUAAAAGAUCUUUUGGAUGAUCUGUGGAUUAAUAUUCUUUUUUAAUAUCCCUUUUCAUCAUAUUAGGUUUACGUGAAAAAAUCAGUUAUUCUCGUUUCAUAGAUAUUAUCAGUAUGAAAAUUUUCUUCAUUAAUAUCUUUGUGACAGUUACCUUCACUGUUAUGAAAGUAAAAUUGUGAUUUUUUUUUUUUUACCUGUCUGGACCAUUAAUAUGAUUUAUUAUGUUCAAUCCUAGGACCCUAAUUCUGUUCACAAAAGUCUCAUGAACAUGAUGCUGGUGUCUGGUUUUAGUAUAACGGUAUUGAAAUCCAAAUAGAUUACAUUCCUCAUGCAAAAAGUAUCAAUAAUCUUAAUCAUCAGAUAUGCAUUUAUUACUAUCAUUCCUUGUUAUGAAACAACAAUACACUAAUGUUUAGGGACUGUCAUAUUACUUUGUGAUAACUAUAAUUCUCUCCACCCUUUAAGUAUUUGAGUGUCGGUCGACCAGGUAUCUUGAGAUUUAUAAACAUUGUAGGAAUGAAAUGUCGCAUAAAUGAUGACAUACUGGGAUUAUAUGUAUAUUUUUUCAAUACAUGUUUUACAUAUUUUUGAUUUUUACCUGUUUGUAGCGUUAACUGAACGAGUUAGAAACACACUGAGGAUAAUGAUGAUAUUUUUGUUGUUUUAGGAAGGGGACAUUUCUUUGUAAUGAUGAAUGUUUUUUUUUUCAUCAAGUUUAAAUCUAUGCAAUAUGUGAAACGUGAUUUCCUAUAUUAUUUGUUAUUAAGUAUGAUAUGUUUCUCAUUAUAAGAACUGCCGAAAAUGAAAUAUAUGAUGACAUGUUUCUUAUAAUUUGUUGUAUUCUGUGUUUCACAUCAAACCUAGGUGCUUCAAAACCGAAGAGUAAUUUUCUUAAUAAGAUUAUUAAAUUCACCAUCAUGAAUGUAUGUAAGAAGUCAGAGGAGGACAUUGUGAUGGACAAGUAUCUUUUGUUGUUAUUAUCAUCAUUAUUAUUAUUAUUAUUAUCAUCAUCAUCAUAUAUAUAUAUUAUUAUAUAUAUCAUUAUAUAUAUUUGUAUAAAUUGAAUAACUUAACUGCUUUGUCUUUGCAAGAUGUAAUCCUUGUAUUAUAAUAUCUUCUUGCAAUAAUUAAUCUUUACAAUUCAACAAUUAUGAUGUACCAUAUAUGUAUGAAUAUUUUUGCUGUUACCUUUUUGUAUUAUUUCUCUUAAUUCUGAAGUACAUAUAUACACUGUAUAUAUACACAUACACAUAUGUAUGUGUGUAUGUGUGUGUGUGUGUGUGUAUGUAUGUAUGUAUUUAUAUCAUAUUCCACUGUAGUUUUAGAGACCUCAAUGUCUAAAUGUGACUAUCUCAAAGAUGAAUGUGAAAUCAAAGUGUGAAUUCAGUCUCCAAGUAUGACUCCAAUCUACAAGGUGUCAGAGGGCGUGCAGUGUGACUUCAUUCUACAGACACAAGGCAGGCCAUCAGGAGAGACUUCAGUUUCAUGCAGGAGCAUUCCAGAAUCCGUCUUGGAAUGCCACACUCCCAACACGAAUUCAAAGUAGGAGAGGAGAUUGGGCUUCGGACAUCACAUCGGGAUUUUAGCGUCCAUUUGGCCCUGAAAAUGUACCCGAAUGUCAGCCGGGCUUCAGUCAACAUUUCAACCCAUUAAGCUUGAAGUCGGAGAAAGUCUGAAGCGUCCUACUCCAGCCUAUGAAGCCACAUUUCAGGUUUACACCCUUUUGCCUGGAAUCGUAGUUACCCUGAAGUCUGAAAUCCUGCAUCCCUUCUGGUCCCUAACGCCUCCACAAAGCCACCCUCGAGGAAGCCCGUCAUCCCAGGGUGGUUGUAGUACGUCACUCCUUCACUCGAACUGAAAUGUCAUACUUAAGCCUGAGACGUCACACUUAAAGAGGUCGGAGUCACACUGAUACAGGCCGUAUCAGCCUGUCAAACUGCAUUCAUUGUUUCAGUCAGUUUUAUGCAUAUAUAUAUGUGUGUGUGUGUGUGUGUGUGUGUGUGUGUGUGUGUGUGUGUUUGUGUGUGUGUGUAUAUAUAUUGUGUAGGUGUAUGCUAUAUAAUGUAAAGAUAUUUUUCCCAAAUAUAUAUUUUUUCUCAUGGAAGCUUCUUGUUGUCUGAAAUGUACGUUUUCCUGAAUGUAUUUUUCAGUAUGUUAUCUAAGUUUCUGUAUUUCGAAUUAUUUUUUUUAUGUAAUAAAUCUUACGUUUUAGAAA